CAUUUUCCUGAAAACAUUCCUCUGUUGUGAAAAAAUACUUUGGAAAAAUUUGCACCCUUGCUGGCCAGUGUCGGCCAAAGAUCGUAUUUUCACAUAAAGUUUGCACUAAUAUUGAGCUGUACAAUUUUCUUGGAGAGGUCUCACUGGUCUGUUUGCAACAUUGAAGAAUGUUCGAAGUUUUUUCAUGAGCAAGG
Long non-coding RNA from Xenia sp. Carnegie-2017, 194 nucleotides. RefSeq lists it as uncharacterized. The transcript has 3 exons. NCBI's taxonomy places the organism in Eukaryota, Metazoa, Cnidaria, Anthozoa, Malacalcyonacea, Xeniidae. The record is from RefSeq and is a predicted model, not a curated record.